GGGACAUCAGUUGCAGCCUAAAGCAGACGACAUCACCUACACCGUCUGACCCGUCUGUUCAUCAGCCAAACUACCUAAAGUACAAGUGACCGGUAGAUUGAAGAAAAGAAAAUCAUCUAAGUUAUCUAACUUUAUAGCCGUCAUUUGCAGGACAGUCAUGCAGGUUUUAAGCCUGGCUGUGCUCCUGCUCCAGCUACACCCUGUUCUCCUGAGAGACACACACCAUGGUGUGGGAUUUGAAGCUGAGGGCAACACUCACCUGAAGAGGAUGGUAGCAGAAGUUACUGACCCUAAAGUCAAGUUUGCAAAGGAUUUAGAGUUUGUUUAAAAAAAGCUAAAUGCAAACAAGGACAAGAAGGUGUUUAGUAACUGGCAAGACAUCUAUGAGUUCUACAGAAAUGUUGAUAUACAGACAGAAUCGGAAAAUUUGAUUAACUCAAAAAAAUUAAUACGUGACCCAAACGUUAAGACAAACUUUGAUGGGUUAAAGAACACCUUAGAGAAAGACAAAAACCAGUACGCCUUUAUCUAUGUAAUGAAAAGACUAGACAACCAUAUAGCCAAGCCAGAGAUUGUUAGCUAUUAUUCUGAGGUCAAACAACCCAAAGUUAUAAAUAAACAUACUGAGGAAGCAAUCUGUGAAAAAAUUAUAAAUAAUGACAUAAAAGUCAACCCACAGGAGGACGAUGUGUACUGGUUCACAAAGAAUACUCCUUGUCUAACUCCAACUUGUUAUAAAGUUGAAUCUAAAUCAUGCUUACUUUCCAUCCUUGAACUCUGUAAGAAAUGGUUCAAACAUGAGAAAUCAGAGACAAAAGGGCGAUGUUACAUUGGAUUUGAUCAAUAUUGGGGGUUUAGUGGAAGACCAUUAGUACUAAAAGAUUAUGAUAAAACAUUAAAAGAAGAAGAGAUGGAAAUCAGGCCCAACAUUUUUAUGUACACGCUUAACGAUGACAAAUUUCUGGAGGAUUUUGUGGACUUUUACGAUUAUGCUAGUUUUAUUUUCCUUGGGUAAAGUGAAUGACAAUCUGACAAUUAAAUACAUGAUGUACUGUGUAUAUUUUGUCAAAUGACUAUAUCGCCAAUGCUUACUAGAUUAGGCUACUGACAAGUUUCAAAACAACUCCUUUUAUACCUACUCUUAAAGUAUCAGUAAUGCAUAAUUUGAAAGAAGUAUACAUAAGUAAAUGAAGCAUAUCAUGGGUAAGCCACAAAUCAAACACCAUAAAAAAAAAAAAGAAAUUGUAGGAAUUUGUUUUAAAUGUUAGCAUGUUUCCAUAAAGCGUCUGCAAUAUGAAAUGAUUAGGCCUACCUUAUAUUAUAUAUUAUAUUGAAUAGUUUUGUAAAUAAACAAAAUGAAUAAAGUAAUAAACAGCAUGCAUAUGUUCACAUACUGUUCACAGUUGGUGAUAUCAGGAUGCAUCAUUAUCUUUAUGUAUACCGCUUUCAAACAUUAGUACCAACAUUUCUAAAUCACGUUUUUCCAACAUGGUUCCAGCACUGAUGUGAAAUACUUAUAAACGCUGUACUAUAAAUGGCUAAAAUCUGCUGAAUAAAUACUGUGUGCUUCUCUCA
This is a long non-coding RNA of Osmerus eperlanus (European smelt), 1575 nucleotides long. RefSeq lists it as uncharacterized. The record is from RefSeq and is a predicted model, not a curated record. The transcript has 3 exons. NCBI's taxonomy places the organism in Eukaryota, Metazoa, Chordata, Actinopteri, Osmeriformes, Osmeridae.